GACAGAGGUGCCGAGCGUUAGGCGGAAUCACUGGGCUUAAAGCGUGUGUAGGCGGAUCGUUAAGUACCUUGUGAAAUCCCACGGCUCAACCGUGGAACUGCUGGGUAUACUGGCGGUCUUGAGCCACCUAGGGGCGAGCGGAACAAGCGGUGGAGCGGUGAAAUGCGCAGAUAUCGGGAAGAACACCCGUGGCGAAGGCGGUUCUCUGGGACGGUACUGACGCUGAGACGCGAAAGCGUGGGGAGCGAACAGG
Molecule: ribosomal RNA, 253 nt
Filed under: uncultured bacterium
Lineage: Bacteria
Description: partial 16S ribosomal RNA
Rfam family: Bacterial small subunit ribosomal RNA
Source: RNAcentral